CCUACGGGAGGCAGCAGUGGGGGAUAUUGCACAAUGGGGGGAACCCUGAUGCAGCGACGCCGCGUGGGUGAAGAAGCGCCUCGGCGCGUAAAGCCCUGUCAGCAGGGAAGAAAAUGACGGUACCUGAAGAAGAAGCCCCGGCUAACUACGUGCCAGCAGCCGCGGUAAUACGUAGGGGGCAAGCGUUAUCCGGAUUUACUGGGUGUAAAGGGAGCGUAGGCGGUAAGGCAAGUCUGAUGUGAAAGGCCAGGGCUCAACCCUGGGACUGCAUUGGAAACUGUUUAACUGGAGUGUCGGAGAGGCAA
Molecule: ribosomal RNA, 305 nt
Filed under: uncultured bacterium
Lineage: Bacteria
Description: bacterial SSU rRNA
Rfam family: Bacterial small subunit ribosomal RNA
Source: RNAcentral